Molecule: ribosomal RNA, 253 nt
Filed under: uncultured bacterium
Lineage: Bacteria
Description: partial 16S ribosomal RNA
Rfam family: Bacterial small subunit ribosomal RNA
Source: RNAcentral
UACGUAGGGUGCGAGCGUUAAUCGGAAUUACUGGGCGUAAAGUGUGCGCAGGCGGCCGCGCAAGUCGAGUGUGAAAGCCCCGAGCUUAACUUGGGAAUUGCGCUCGAAACUACGUGGCUGGAGUGUGGCAGAGGAAGGUGGAAUUCCAGGUGUAGCGGUGAAAUGCGUAGAGAUCUGGAGGAACACCGAUGGCGAAGGCAGCCUUCUGGGCCAACACUGUCGCUCAUGCACGAAAGCGUGGGGAGCAAACAGG